Molecule: ribosomal RNA, 253 nt
Filed under: uncultured bacterium
Lineage: Bacteria
Description: partial 16S ribosomal RNA
Rfam family: Bacterial small subunit ribosomal RNA
Source: RNAcentral
UACGUAGGGGGCAAGCGUUGUCCGGAUUUAUUGGGCGUAAAGAGCGUGUAGGCGGCCUGACAAGUCUGCUGUGAAAACUCGAGGCUCAACCUCGAGAUGUCGGCGGAAACUGUCUGGCUAGAGUCCGGAAGAAGAGAGUGGAAUUCCUGGUGUAGCGGUGAAAUGCGCAGAUAUCAGGAAGAACACCUAUGGCGAAGGCAGCUCUCUGGGACGGUACUGACGCUGAGACGCGAAAGCGUGGGGAGCGAACAGG